GAUGAACGCUGGCGGCGUGCCUAAUACAUGCAAGUCGAGCGAGCAGAUGAGGAGCUUGCUCCUCUGACGUUAGCGGCGGACGGGUGAGUAACACGUGGAUAACCUACCUAUAAGACUGGGAUAACUUCGGGAAACCGGAGCUAAUACCGGAUAAUAUAUUGAACCGCAUGGUUCAAUAGUGAAAGACGGUUUUGCUGUCACUUAUAGAUGGAUCCGCGCCGCAUUAGCUAGUUGGUAAGGUAACGGCUUACCAAGGCAACGAUGCGUAGCCGACCUGAGAGGGUGAUCGGCCACACUGGAACUGAGACACGGUCCAGACGCCUACGGGAGGCAGCAGUAGGGAAUCUUCCGCAAUGGGCGAAAGCCUGACGGAGCAACGCCGCGUGAGUGAUGAAGGUCUUCGGAUCGUAAAACUCUGUUAUUAGGGAAGAACAAAUGUGUAAGUAACUAUGCACGUCUUGACGGUACCUAAUCAGAAAGCCACGGCUAACUACGUG
This 497-nucleotide ribosomal RNA is filed under the name uncultured bacterium. Its description in RNAcentral is "partial 16S ribosomal RNA". It matches the Rfam family "Bacterial small subunit ribosomal RNA", at positions 28 to 507 of the family's 1533-position model. The record is from RNAcentral.